This 480-nucleotide ribosomal RNA is filed under the name uncultured bacterium. RNAcentral describes it as "partial 16S ribosomal RNA". It matches the Rfam family "Bacterial small subunit ribosomal RNA", at positions 28 to 507 of the family's 1533-position model. The record is from RNAcentral.
GACGAACGCUGGCGGCGUGCUUAACACAUGCAAGUCGAACGAUGAAGAAAAGAAUUGAAGCUUCGGCAGAAAUUCAUUUCGGAUUAGUGGCAGACGGGUGAGUAACGCGUGAGCAACCUACCUCUUACAAAGGGAUAGCCUCGGGAAACCGGGAUUAAUACCAUAUAACAUUGCGACGAAGCAUUUCGAUGCAAUCAAAGCUACGGCGGUAAGAGAUGGGCUCGCGUCCCAUUAACCAGAUGGUGAGGUAACGGCUCACCAUAGUAACGAUGGGUAACCGGCCUGAGAGGGUGAACCGUCACACUGGAACUGAGACACGGUCCAGAAUCCUACGGGAGGCAGCAGUGGGGAAUAUUGCACAAUGGAGGGAACUCUGAUGCCGCGACGCCGCGUGAGUGAUGAAGGAAUUCGUUUCGUAAAACUCUGUUCUAUGGGAAGAAAAGGACUUUACCAUAGGAGAAAGCUCCGGCUAAAUACGUG